AUUGAACGCUGGCGGCAUGCCUUACACAUGCAAGUCGAACGGCAGCGGACCUUCGGGUGCCGGCGAGUGGCGAACGGGUGAGUAAUGCAUCGGAACGUGCCAUUGAGGUGGGGGAUAACGUAGCGAAAGUUACGCUAAUACCGCAUAAGCCCUGAGGGGGAAAGCAGGGGAUCGCAAGACCUUGCGCGAAUGGAGCGGCCGAUGUCAGAUUAGCUAGUUGGUGGGGUAAAGGCCUACCAAGGCGACGAUCUGUAGCGGGUCUGAGAGGAUGAUCCGCCACACUGGGACUGAGACACGGCCCAGACUCCUACGGGAGGCAGCAGUGGGGAAUUUUGGACAAUGGGCGCAAGCCUGAUCCAGCCAUGCCGCGUGUGGGAUGACGGCCUUCGGGUUGUAAACCACUGUCGGAAGGGACGAAUGCCCCGCAAGGGGAGUGACGGUACCUUCAAAGGAAGCACCGGCUAACUCCGUG
RNAcentral lists this ribosomal RNA (472 nucleotides) under uncultured bacterium. Its description in RNAcentral is "bacterial SSU rRNA". It matches the Rfam family "Bacterial small subunit ribosomal RNA", at positions 29 to 507 of the family's 1533-position model. The record is from RNAcentral.